RNAcentral lists this long non-coding RNA (588 nucleotides) under Sorghum bicolor (sorghum). RNAcentral describes it as "long non-coding RNA (SBIC_LNC018170)". Lineage: Eukaryota; Viridiplantae; Streptophyta; Magnoliopsida; Poales; Poaceae. The record is from RNAcentral.
CAAACACAAAGGGCUAAUACCCGAUUCAAACGUUAAGGCGUGCCAGCCGAUUUGACCUUGCUAUCGGCAAAGGUGAUAACUCGAAUACUUUAGUCCUGACAACAGCGAUGCGCCCGGAUGUCACGGCUAAGAGGUAUUCACGCGGAACUUGAGAACACGCCGAGCUUAAGUCGACGAAUUCCUAAGAACUCGUAACAAAAGGAAAAAAAAUAUGACGAAGUCGUCGAAAAGUAGAUGCUGGAAUAUGAGUAAAAACGUGUAUUUGAUUGAUUGAUUUAUUCUUAUUACAAGGCCCUAGGGUCUAUAUUUAUACCCUGCUCAAAGAGCUACAACCAGACACGUUUAGAGUUCGAAUUCCAAAUUACACGGAAUCCGUAUACAAAACGAUGUAAAUAAUUAAGGAAAUAACAAAACUAUCCCUCGUGACAAACCGAAACUCCUCUACAUAACGACCGGCAGCUUCCGGACUCCCUCUUUGCAUCAUCGGCACACCCUUUGUCAUAGUCAUCGGCAGACUUUCUUAUCUAGCCAUCGGCACAAUAUUACUGCCUGUGGACUUAGUCACGUUCAACUUCUCCCUCAUCGGCA